CCUUCACAGGUCCUCUGCUUGCCAUACUAGAGAGACACACUCUGUUCCGUCCUCAACUUGCGGACCUGCCCUGAGGAUGUUAUACACCACUGUUGCGCCUUCAGUCAUGUUGAUUUCCGACUGGUUGUCUUUGGACUACAUGCCAUGGGCUGACUGACCUGAACAGAAAUACAAUAUUCAUCACUUUCCUCAUAUUGGACUACUCUGAUUAGUUAUGAGGUCACAGGAAAUAGACUCAUUACUCAUAAAUCAUUGCAGCUCACUUGACUGCAUCUGACAGUGGAUAGCAGAGCUCUCUGGUGUUUCACCAUUUGAAAUUAAACAACAAAAAUGUAAAUUACCAUUGUUUUACGCUUCGAACACACCGACUGCGUCGUUGCAUCCCUGCUGCAUAACAUUUUGCGCAGCUAGGCAAUUAUACUGAUGCAGGUACCUUUUGCAAAUGGUCGCAUGCAGUUGGACACAUGGAGGAGAGAAUCAUUUUCGCAGUAUCCUCAAAACCGUGUCUUUUUGACACAACUGCUGACAGCUACAGGGACAUAAACACAAAAUGCUGCUUGGAGACAAGUGUCCACGAUAGUAGGAUUGCCAGGUCAGUUUAGUAGUGAGCUUGUGCUAGAUGUGGCUAGUUAGCUAGCUAGCUGGUGUGUGUGAAAGAAAUAGUCAAAUAAAUUAUGCUAGUUACUACCCCUGAUAACUUUACCAAAUAAUCAUGUUUGAAAGAUUGAGAGUGUGUAUGCUAUAUAAAUAGUAAUAGAAAUGGUAGAUACUACUGUACCCCUGAUAAUUUGGUCAGAUAAACGUGUGUGUGUGUCUAUGUGUACAGUAGGUGACAUGUCCAUGAUAGCUAUCUAAUAACUAUAGUUAUGCUAGGUAAUGGUUUGGCUUAUCAUGUUCAUGUCUAUGUAGAAGAAGACUGUAGGAGGGAGUGGAGAGGACUCAAGGACAGGUAUCAGAGAGAGAGAAGGGCAGAGAAAGAGAAGAAGAGGUCUGGGUCAGCAGCUUCAGGCCAGCAGCCUUGGCGCCUCUGCCACAUUCUUUCUUUUCUGGAUCCAUUUAUUGUGCCUAGGGCAACGAGUGGAAAUUUUACAGCCAGACCCUCUACUACGUCAUCCACAAGUGUUGUUGCCACCGGUGAAUCAAGACCCUCAACGUCACCUACAAAUGCGACCAUCACCUCCACCGGUGGAGUGAGACUCUCUACAACAUCAUCCACGAGUAUGACCACUACCGGUGCAGCCAUGGAAGAUGAUGAAAGGGAGGAAGCACCUCUGGAUCUAGGACCACCUGAGAUCAUUAUGAACCUCACGGAAGUGACCACCUCGUUGAACAGGAUGUGGCCGUGGAAAGAAACAGAGAGAGAAACUAAGAGGAACAACGUCACACCAGGCGUCAUCGGAGGUACCAGCCCCCAGAUCCACUCAACUCAUUUCAGCAGAGGCUCCUCCAAGCUGUCGAGAGGGAUGCAGCCCAACCUGAUGCUCACAGGAUGGAGGAUGAAGAGACCCUCUUUGCCAUGUGCCUUGUGCCAACACUGAAGAGGCUGCCUCAACAAAGAAAAGCAGCAAUCAAGGUUAAAAUGUAUCAACUGCUUUUCGAAGCCGAGUUCAAUGAAAUGGAGUCAAUUUAGCUGACCAGCUCACAGGAAGGACAGGAAGAGGAGAGGAGUUGUCUGGUUGUUGUUUUGACCUCCCUCAUUGUACCUUUCUUUUCACACACGUCAGUUCCGUUUAAAUUCAGUCAAUUCAUAAAGUAAUUUGUUUAUUAAGUCUUAGGGUAGCAUUCAUUAUUAGUGUUUACAUAGAUUUCUGAAUUGAAACUCAUACGGAGUUUUCACAGAUGCUCUUGGUCUCUUACGAGGUCAAUAUAUUUCUUUAAUUUAAAACCACUUGAAAACCAGGGUGUUGAAACUUUUUGUGAAGUUAUGUUCCAUCGACUGGUCCGUGACGUCCAGGGGCCAUUUGUUUGUUUAGCUGUGUUAUGGCUACAUAUUAUUCCCUUUUUCUCAGAGACAGACACACACACACCUCUUCGUACCUCAGAUCUCCAGUGCCCUGCCCUCUCUCUUUAUGGCCAUGUCUGAAGUUCCUCUACUACGUCUAGGCUUUAUGAGUAGUCCCUGUAUCGGUAUGCAGUUGUGCCAAAAAUACAUGCUCUUGCUGUUCUCUUACAGAUUACAGGCUACACAUUCAUAAAAAUAAAAAAAUCUGCACGCACGCA
Long non-coding RNA from Oncorhynchus kisutch (coho salmon), 2220 nucleotides. RefSeq lists it as uncharacterized. The transcript has 2 exons. The record is from RefSeq and is a predicted model, not a curated record. NCBI's taxonomy places the organism in Eukaryota, Metazoa, Chordata, Actinopteri, Salmoniformes, Salmonidae.